CUACGGGUGGCACCAGUGAGGAAUAUUGCACAAUGGGGGGAACCCUGAUGCAGCAACGCCGCGUGGAGGAUGACGCAUUUCGGUGUGUAAACUCCUUUUAUAUGUCAAGAAAAUGACGGUAGCAUAUGAAUAAGCACCGGCUAACUCCGUGCCAGCAGCCGCGGUAAUACGGAGGGUGCAAGCGUUACUCGGAAUCACUGGGCGUAAAGGACGCGUAGGCGGGUUGGAAAGUCAGGUGUGAAAUCCUACAGCUUAACUGUAGAACUGCACUUAAAACUUCUAAUCUAGAGUAUGGGAGGGGGAGAUGGAGUUAGUGGUGUAGGGGUAAAAUCCGUAGAUAUCACUAGGAAUACCUAAAGCGAAGGCGAUCUCCUGGAACAUUACUGACGCUAAGGCGUGAAAGCGUGGGGAGCAAACAGGAUUAGAUACCCGAGUAGUC
RNAcentral lists this ribosomal RNA (439 nucleotides) under uncultured bacterium. RNAcentral's name for it is "partial 16S ribosomal RNA". It matches the Rfam family "Bacterial small subunit ribosomal RNA", at positions 339 to 795 of the family's 1533-position model. The record is from RNAcentral.